Molecule: small nucleolar RNA, 50 nt
Filed under: Pyrococcus horikoshii OT3
Lineage: Archaea; Methanobacteriati; Methanobacteriota; Thermococci; Thermococcales; Thermococcaceae
Description: PHOsR52
Source: RNAcentral
AUGAGGAAAAGGCAUAGAAGCUGAAAGAUGAUGAAAGGGGACCUCACCGA